UACGUAGGGUGCGAGCGUUAAUCGGAAUUACUGGGCGUAAAGCGUGCGCAGGCGGUUCGUUGUGUCGGCGGUGAAAUCCCCGGGCUCAACCUUUGAAAGCCGAUGGAUACUGCGGAGCUAGAGUACGGAAGAGGCGAGUGGAAUUCCUGGUGUAGCGGUGGAAUGCGCAGAUAUCAGGAGGAACACCAAUAGCGAAGGCAGCUCGCUGGGACGUUACUGACACUGAGGCGCGAAAGCGUGGGGAGCGAACAGG
This 253-nucleotide ribosomal RNA is filed under the name uncultured bacterium. RNAcentral describes it as "partial 16S ribosomal RNA". It matches the Rfam family "Bacterial small subunit ribosomal RNA", at positions 524 to 776 of the family's 1533-position model. The record is from RNAcentral.